Molecule: long non-coding RNA, 1266 nt
Filed under: Fukomys damarensis (Damara mole-rat)
Lineage: Eukaryota; Metazoa; Chordata; Mammalia; Rodentia; Bathyergidae
Description: lncRNA (ENSFDAG00000032730.1)
Source: RNAcentral
AGUGCUCCUUAUAGGACUGGGGUGGGAUUGAGCGAUGUAGGGGCUAUGGACUGGGGGAGCUGUGACAUCACAAGGAGGGGCUGUGUCAUCACUAGUCAGAGCCAUCUUAAGGCGAGGGAAAUCUAAUACUCCAGGUUUUUGUUCUAUGGUUGUUGGGUGAAGGUCUCUUCUUCUGGAGCUGUUUCAAGCUGACAAAGGGGCGCAGGUUGCGGCUAAACCUGGAUCUGGCAGGGACAGUGGAACACUGGAUAUGCGAAUUUGAGAAUGUCAGAGAUGUAAUCUCCAGACAGCUCAACAAAGAGGAAACGCUGUCUCCCCAGAGACCACUACAACCUUGGCUGCUGUGCUCUCUACUUUAGGGCCUCUACAGCUCCGACCGGCAGCCUCUAAAGCUUCCACCACCCUUGCUGCUUCUCGCAUGGUGGACUACUUGUCCCUUUCAGGGAAAGAGAGGUCGUCACAGGUGAUUCCUGGAAGAGGGGCAACUUCCUCCUCGCAGCCUGAACUGCUAGCCUGCCAUAGAGGAACCACAAUCAACUGACAUCUAGAGCUGCAACUACAGCUCAUCCUGAUGUAGCUGUUGCAGCUUCCAAAAGCAGGAGGAGGAGAUGUUUAGGACUGCUGUCUUGAUUAUGCCUCCAGCAAGCUAUAAGCAGUGCAGGCUGUAAAGAGGUAACCCCUCAACUGGCUCAUUUUAAGCAAAAGUGGCUCAUAGAAGCAUCUCAUAAGCACUGCAGCAGCACACGGGUUAGCAUGACCUUCCUGUUAACAGCCAUAGCCAAGACCAGAGAAAUGGCCUGUGAAGCUUUGGGGCUCAAUACGAGAUAACAAGGUAGCUGAGGUUGGAGUAACUCGCACCCAAAUUCUAUCCCCACAGCCACAGUCUUAACUAGAAGGACAAGGUUCUAAUUACAACCCUAUAUUUUGUCUAUUCUUUUUCUAAUUAGAGAAUGUUUUGUCGUUUCCUUUAUAAGCCUUGCCUGCAUUAGUAUCCAUAGCAACUGCACAACUGCUUUUCCUCACAUACAGUUCCCCGUUAGCACAUAGUUCCCCUUUAAACCACUUGGAUUACCAAUAAAAAUCAGUGGCUUGGACGGACCAGGGUAUUUUUCUGGUUACUCAGCACUGGCCAUCCUGGCUCCCCACUUCUUUCUCCAGUUCUUUCUUUGAGUCUUUCCUCAUCCCUGCAUAAUAUACUGUGCAGGAGACUGGACCCUACUGCACAGGUCUCCAAUAUGCAGUAACUAUGAUGUCACUUGAAACACA